UACGUAGGGCGCAAGCGUUGUCCAGAAUUAUUGGGCGUAAAGAGCUCGUAGGCGGUCUGUCGCGUCGAUCGUGAAAACUUGGGGCUCAACCCUGAGCUUGCGGUCGAUACGGGCAUGACUGGAGUUCGGCAGGGGAGACUGGAAUUCCUGGUGUAGCGGUGAAAUGCGCAGAUAUCAGGAGGAACACCGGUGGCGAAGGCGGGUCUCUGGGCCGAUACUGACGCUGAGGAGCGAAAGCGUGGGGAGCGAACAGG
This 254-nucleotide ribosomal RNA is filed under the name uncultured bacterium. RNAcentral describes it as "partial 16S ribosomal RNA". It matches the Rfam family "Bacterial small subunit ribosomal RNA", at positions 524 to 776 of the family's 1533-position model. The record is from RNAcentral.